This 253-nucleotide ribosomal RNA is filed under the name uncultured bacterium. RNAcentral's name for it is "partial 16S ribosomal RNA". It matches the Rfam family "Bacterial small subunit ribosomal RNA", at positions 524 to 776 of the family's 1533-position model. The record is from RNAcentral.
UACGUAGGGUGCAAGCGUUGUCCGGAAUUAUUGGGCGUAAAGAGCUCGUAGGCGGUUCGUCGCGUCGGCUGUGAAAUCCCGAGGCUCAACCUCGGGUCUGCAGUCGAUACGGGCGGACUGGAGUACUGCAGGGGAGACUGGAAUUCCUGGUGUAGCGGUGAAAUGCGCAGAUAUCAGGAGGAACACCGGUGGCGAAGGCGGGUCUCUGGGCAGUUACUGACGCUGAGACGCGAAAGCGUGGGGAGCGAACAGG